CUGCUGCCUCCCGUAGGAGUUUGGGCCGUGUCUCAGUCCCAAUGUGGUCGUUCACCCUCUCAGGCCGGCUACUGAUCGUUGCCUUGGUAGGCCAUUACCCCACCAACUAGCUAAUCAGACGCGGAACCAUCGUAUACCACCAGAGUUUUUCACACCGCUUCAUGCGAAGCUGUGCGCUUAUGCGGUAUUAGCACCUAUUUCUAAGUGUUAUCCCCCAGUAUACGGCAGGUUUUCCACGCGUUACUCACCCGUCCG
This 255-nucleotide ribosomal RNA is filed under the name uncultured bacterium. Its description in RNAcentral is "partial 16S ribosomal RNA". The record is from RNAcentral.